GGGGAUUUUGUUCCAACAAUCAGAAUGUGACUAAUACAGAAAAUUGGUACUGGAGAACUGAGUAUCCUGAGACUUUGCAGGAGACUGAGAUUAAGAGUGGUGGACAACACAUGACAUAGAAGUGGGGCCUAUGAAGCCCUUUGGAACUUACAUCUUACCACAACUACCCUGUGUGCUGAACUUAGAGCUACAGGAUUUAAUGUUUGUCCUACUGGAUUUUGGUCUUGCUUUAUUUCUUUUCUUUUUUACCCCAUUUUUCUCCUUCUGGAAGUGGGAAGUAUUUAACAUUCUUUUUGCUUCUCAUAGGGGCUCACAACUAUGAGUUUGUCUUGAGUUUCAGAAGAGAAUUUGGACUUGGACUUUUCAACAAUGCUAGAACUGUUAAAAAUUUAGUGACUUUUGGAGAUGGACUAAAUACAUUUUAUGUAAUGAAAUGGACCUGAGUCUUGUGGGCAGUGACAGAAUGUUCUGGUUUAAAUAUAAAAUGCUCUCAAAAUUCUCAUGUGAUUGAAAGGUGAUUGAAUCAUGAGCUGCUAUAUUCUUCAAUAGAAGCAUCCACUAAUGAUUUCAGUACUUGAAUGUGUUGUUAGCAGGUAGGGCCUAGUUGGAGGUGAGUGAAUGGGAGUGUGACUUGUAAAGUCAUACUUUUAUCCCUGGCUUCUCCCUUUUAUCUCUGCUCCUUGAUUACCAUGAGAUGAGCAAUGUUCCUCUGCCAUGCCCUUUUACGCCAUGCUAUUUCUCCCUUGAUUCUAGUCAACAAUAGACUGAAUUGCUGCUGGAAACUGUGAACCAAACAAACCAAGCCAAAUAAACCUCUCUUCUUUUAAAUUAUGGGUGUUAAAUAUUGUGUUCCAGGGGUGGAAAAGUGAAUAAUAUACUCAGCAUAAGAAUAAUUCUGUUUUUUACAAUUUGUAUCUUUGUUGUGGGCUGAGGUCAUGGGGGUGAGACCUUUGUGAUAAGAGCUUAAGAAGAGACACCUGAGAACUCACUCACUCCCUCUCUCCACUGUGUGAAGACAUAGUGAGAGGGAUCCAUCUAUAGUUAGAAAAAUAGCCCAUACUAGGCAUAGCUGCUGCUGGCACCCUGAUCCAAACUCUAAUUUUAAGAACUGGAAGAAAAUAAAUUUGGGGUCACAGUUGUUUUUGUGGCCGCCUGAACAACCCAACACAGUUCUUGAAAAUAUGCUCCUUGGGAACAUGCUCCAUGGCCCUCUCUUUGCAAAUGAAGAUAAUUAGGGUUCCUGAUGAUCAAUUCUCAACUUGCAUUUGGGUAAGAAUUUACUAGAAUAGCCAGAACCAGAGCCCAGGAAUGCCAAUUCCUACUUACAGUGUUCUUUCCAAUGCACUUCACUGAAACAAUAUAAAUGGGA
Molecule: long non-coding RNA, 1369 nt
Filed under: Heterocephalus glaber (naked mole-rat)
Lineage: Eukaryota; Metazoa; Chordata; Mammalia; Rodentia; Bathyergidae
Description: lncRNA (ENSHGLG00100036028.1)
Source: RNAcentral